This 483-nucleotide long non-coding RNA is filed under the name Lepisosteus oculatus (spotted gar). RNAcentral describes it as "lncRNA (ENSLOCG00000021866.1)". Lineage: Eukaryota; Metazoa; Chordata; Actinopteri; Semionotiformes; Lepisosteidae. The record is from RNAcentral.
CGCACCCCUCAGCAUGUGACCCGGCGCGGUGGGUUAUAAAGACACACUCCUAGAGCCCCGCAGUCACAGCUCAGCUCCUCUGCGAGACGAGGCCGAGGAAGAAGGAGCCAGUCUGUGUGUCUGGAAGUCAAGGUUUGGGAGUCAUGGGUGGCAGCGUGUCCGUGACGAACAACACGCCUUACCCCUGGUCCUACUGCUACUCCUACAUGGGCAGCACCAGCAGCAUCAAGGGGAGUGGCACGCUCUAUGGCUUCCAGAGCAGAACCCACGAGCAGAGAGAGAUCCUCAGCUACCUCUACGUGAAGUAUGGCUCCUGCAGCGCGAGCGAGUGCCUGAGCUCCUGCGACAUGGUGCGCUUCUACAAUGGCAUCGACAGGCCCACCUUCACCAUCCAGGAGUGCCACAGCCGCACGCGGGCGGAGCUGGUGUGCGACAGGGGCGGCGACAGGCCCUCGUGCGAGAACAGGGGUGAGUCCCCUCGGC